Non-coding RNA from Rhinolophus ferrumequinum (greater horseshoe bat), 74 nucleotides. NCBI's taxonomy places the organism in Eukaryota, Metazoa, Chordata, Mammalia, Chiroptera, Rhinolophidae. The record is from the annotation of a RefSeq genome assembly.
GGCCUGUUAGCUCAGUUGGUUAGAGUGUGGUGCUGACAACACCAAGGUUGCCGGUUUGAUCCCCGCACGGGCAA